CAGCAGCCGCGGUAAAACAGAGGGUGCGAGCGUUAAUCGGAUUUACUGGGCGUAAAGCGUGCGUAGGCGGCUUCUUAAGUCGGAUGUGAAAUCCCUGAGCUUAACUUAGGAAUUGCAUUCGAUACUGGGAAGCUAGAGUAUGGGAGAGGAUGGUAGAAUUCCAGGUGUAGCGGUGAAAUGCGUAGAGAUCUGGAGGAAUACCGAUGGCGAAGGCAGCCAUCUGGCCUAAUACUGACGCUGAGGUACGAAAGCAUGGGGAGCAAACAGGAUUAGAUACCCCCGUAGUCCCUGUCUAUUAUAA
Molecule: ribosomal RNA, 301 nt
Filed under: uncultured bacterium
Lineage: Bacteria
Description: partial 16S ribosomal RNA
Rfam family: Bacterial small subunit ribosomal RNA
Source: RNAcentral